RNAcentral lists this long non-coding RNA (1643 nucleotides) under Gossypium barbadense (sea-island cotton). Its description in RNAcentral is "long non-coding RNA (GBAR_LNC013280)". The record is from RNAcentral. Lineage: Eukaryota; Viridiplantae; Streptophyta; Magnoliopsida; Malvales; Malvaceae.
UUUGUAUUAAUACGAAUAUUAGUCCUCUGAAUUGUGGUCGCUGUGGAAACCGAUGCCCAUUUAGGGUUCCAUGCUCGUUUGGGAUGUGUGGAUAUGCACAGCCUCGUCCAUUCCCUCCUCGCCCACCAAGACCAUUCCCUCCUCACCCGCCGCGACCGAUCCCUCCUCAUCCACCACGACCAUUCCCUCCUCCUCAUCCUCAUCGCCCUCAGCCAACACCAUGCCCUCCUACGCAGCCAGGGCCACCGCCCAGGACUUGCCCUCCAGGUUUGCCUCCGCCCCUAACAGGUGAUCAUUCACCAUCAAGGAGUUGAAGUUGUUGAACAGAAUCCAGUUAAAGAUUCAACUUAUAUAUGCACUAUCUGCUUGCUUUCUUCACAAAAGGGAAACUAAAAUAAAUGCCUUGUAUACGUUACGAUAGAACUCCCCAGUUGUUUGCAUUUUCCUGAAAUUUUUAUUAAGAAAACUGUUUGGUGUUUUAAAUCAUUGUCAAAACUCAAUAAAUAAUGGUUCUUCCAUAUACUCGAAACAAUCAUAUGCAAGAGCAAGAUUCUCAUACAAAAGAAUGCGAUUGAAAUGCAAAAUUAAUGGGACAUCAAUCAUGAUAUUAGUCGUUCGUGACCAAAGUAUUGCCAGAGCAUAACAAGAACAAUAAAAAAGCUUCCAUAAAAACCCAUAGGCCAUAUUUUUGUAAGAGACCACAUAGUUUCAGAGGUUUAUAUCUAAUACAUCCUAGUUUUCACUACUCUAUAACUUCGAUUCUACCGCAUAAAUAAACCUAAAAACCAACUAGUAGGACUUACCACCACCUGUUUGAAAUCUAAACCAAAUUACAAUUCAAAAUCUUCCAAUUUAAACAACAUAAUAGAAAUGUAAGACAAAAGUACUCAACACUAAUUUAAGAUUUUUGUUUUACUGCAAAAGAUCAAACCCCCUACUUAUUGAACAGAAGGGGGAAAUAGGAAAUUUUUUACUUUAAGAUUGAUGUGAGCCGUAUCAGCAGGCUUCUUGCCUUCUUCUUGAUUGGCUACUCCUGACAUCUUCUUCUAUCUAUGGGCCAUAUGGGAUUAGUAGGGUUCAAAAUAGCAGUGGCAUAGUGGUUCGCAGCCGCUAUUUCGCAGUAGCGGCGCCCCCGACACCACUAAACACAGUUCAACAAAUUUAACAUGCAGCGGAUGGCAGCCCGCAAGUAGCAGUGUAACGGGAAAUAGCGGCGAUAACAAGUCCGCUAUUUCAGCUAAAUCGAUGGGUUAAAGUAAACAGAGCAGUGCAGCAGACGCAGAGACGAGAAACAGAAACCGAGCCUGCCAUAACUCAAAAUCUGAUGACUCAAGUAGAAAUCAAUGUUUAAAUUAAGUUUAGGGUAUCAAAAAUUACCUUAGCUAAAUUCCUGGUCUCUCGGCAACUUGAAGGCGCUUGGGUCCUGAAGAGGAGGGUGGCUCGGGAAUUUUCGAAGGAGUGUUUAUUCGGACUAAGAAUUUUAUUUGAAUUUUAAAUUGUAAAUAUCUGGAAUGGGUUCAAUGGGAUUGGUCUCGAAACUUUUUUUUUUUUUUUUUAAAUCGAACUUUAAUAAAUUGGAUUGGACCGAAGUAUGUUGGAUUCAAAAUUUUUUGUCAUUGAAUUAAUUUUAAGUAUAAUGUAUC